GUAUUCACUUUGGCAACAUGUACACUAAAACUGGAACAAUACAGAGAAAAUUAGCAAGGCCCCUGAACAAGGAUAACAUGCAAAUUUGUGAAGCAUUCCAUAUUUAA
Molecule: small nuclear RNA, 107 nt
Organism: Hippopotamus amphibius kiboko
Lineage: Eukaryota; Metazoa; Chordata; Mammalia; Artiodactyla; Hippopotamidae
Source: RefSeq, a predicted model, not a curated record